Molecule: ribosomal RNA, 503 nt
Filed under: Pseudanaesthetis langana
Lineage: Eukaryota; Metazoa; Arthropoda; Insecta; Coleoptera; Cerambycidae
Description: partial 16S ribosomal RNA
Rfam family: Bacterial large subunit ribosomal RNA
Source: RNAcentral
GGCCUUUUGUUAUUUAUUUAAGGUCUAACCUGCCCCCUGAGAAUUUUAAGGGCCGCGAUAUUUUGAUCGUGCUAAGGUAGCAUAAUCAAUAGUUUCUUAAUUGGAAGCUGGAAUGAAUGGUUGAAUAAGAAAAUAGCUGUCUCUGGUUUAUUAUAAUGAAUUUUAUUUUUAAGUAAAAAAGCUUAAAUAUAAUUAAAAGACGAGAAGACCCUAUAGAGUUUUAUAGUUUUAAUUAUUUUUUUUUUUAGUAUUUUAAAAUUUAUAUUUAAAAGUAUUUGGUUGGGGUGAUUAAAAAAUUAAGUGAACUUUUUUUGUAUUUAAACAUUAAUUUAUGAUUAUUUGAUCCAGUUAUAUUGAUUACAAGAAAAAAUUACCUUAGGGAUAACAGCGUAAUUUUAAUUUAAAGUUCUUAUUGAAAUUAAAGUUUGCGACCUCGAUGUUGGAUUAAAAUUAAUUUUUGGUGUAGCAGCUAAAAGUUUAGGUCUGUUCGACCUUUAAAAUUU